Molecule: non-coding RNA, 115 nt
Submitted as: unclassified sequences
Source: Rfam
ACAAUGGUACUCCUGUUCAGUCACAGUCCGAGCGUGAUAGCGUUUUCCAACGCAAAGCCGUCGCAGGCAAUGAGAGCAGCCGACAGAGAACCUGCCGGGGGUGAAAUUCCCGUGG